UGGUCUAGUGCAACAGUGACAGGUGGCAAUGGCUCACUGGGGCAUUGGGUAGCCUUGAUUGCUUGCACGGUUCUGCUUCUCCAUUUCCCAUCGGUUAUUGGGGCAUUUUCCUCGAUCACCGCCACGGCAUGAGCUUGAUGCGGCUGUUGGUCCUGAUUUGGGAACCUCCCCGUUGGCUGUUCUUGCUGCAGCUGAGUCAAGGCUCCUGUUAAUUGCCCAACUGUGGUCUCGAGGCGCUUGAUAGUAGCACUCUGAGACUCCAUGUUUUGUUUGGUCAUCUCCAUAAAGGACUGC
This 294-nucleotide long non-coding RNA is filed under the name Salvia miltiorrhiza (redroot sage). Its description in RNAcentral is "long non-coding RNA (SMIL_LNC010704)". The record is from RNAcentral. Lineage: Eukaryota; Viridiplantae; Streptophyta; Magnoliopsida; Lamiales; Lamiaceae.